AGACCCCCCAUGUCUCAGCGCAAGCACAGGUUCCCUUCUGCCUGCCCAGUCCCACCAAAACCAACCGGAAUGAGACAUUCCAUUACUCUGUUUCCUGGGAAUAGAAGGAAGCGCCUCCUCCUUCCCUCUUACUGCCUGCUAUUGGCGCAGGCAGACCACACCCAUCCGUCCGGUGCUUGUCCCCAAAGUCUCAGGUCUCUGCAGAACCUUAGGCAGCCAGCGGCACUGGGAAGAAGGUGGGAGGCAUUGCCAGGCCUGGCAGGCCGAGCCCCACAUGGUGUCCUGGAGUCUUUGGGCACCCCACCAGCACGAUGGGGGAUCCCUCAGCUGCCUCCCAUCUAGACCGGCUGUCGCACGUGCCUGCCUACCCACCAUGAAGGUCCAGAUGCAGCCGACACCCCUACCCACAGGGUCUCCUCUGCCUCUGUGCCAGGGACCCUGUUCAGGAGGCCUCUUCCCUCCAGUCAGGACUCACCGUCCCCACCAUCACUGAGCCCUCUGGCUCCCAUCCACACUCCCAGCAGCUGGAGACACACCCCUUUCUCCUGGACCACCAGUCCUCCCAGGACUCUGAACUGGAGGGGCUGACACCCAGCAGGGGUGACAGCUGGCGGGGGGAACUGGAAGCCCCCAAGGAGCCACCCCCAGCCCUGGGCACAUCCACACAGGAAUCAUGGGUGCACAGGGCCCCAGAGCCAUAUGAGCUGGAUUCAGCCCCCAGCAGAUGGAUGGCCACACAGCAGGUGCUCACAGCCAGCUGCAGCGCCAGUCCCCUCCCAAACAGGCCCACGUUGGCGUCCCAGAAGUGUGGGGACAAAUCUACUCUUCAUGGGCCUCCAGUAGUGGUGACCUCAACUGACCCCUCCUGUCCUCUCCUGGUCACACCUUUGUCUCCCCCAGGGAGGCCAGGCCAGGAGCCACCAGGGCCCUGACCUCAGAGGCAGACAGGGGUGUGCCGACCCCUGGGGCCGGGCCAGGACCCAGCACAGGCGCCCGCUGCUCUGAAAAUGGCUGGGUUUCCUGGGUUCCCUGUGACAGGUGUGGUGCCCGGUGUUGAUGCCCUGCAGGCAGCUGCUUGGGCAGCCCUGGUCAUGGCUGGGUUCCCUCUCCCACACCACUUUCUCCUGGAGGACAGAGAAGGAUCUGGGGAAUUUCGUCUUUUGUCAAAAGCCACCAGGUAUCUCCCUGCCCGGCAGAGUCAGUCAAGGCUUCUGUUUCCAGGUGCAUUCUGUCAUUCCAGGUUCACUGUGCUGGAGUCAGCUGUGCCUGCAGCAGGGCAUCUGAUUCCUCCAAGAUCUAGAAACCAACGCUCCAUCCACCACUGGCCCGAGGAGGCAGCACCAUCAGGAAGAGCAAACCAGCCACAGUGGAGGCUCCAGGACGGGCACACCGCGGGACCCUCAUGCAGAGUCCAAGGCUGUGCGGUCAGAGGUCAGAGAUUAGAGUUGGGGAGAUGAGGAAACCACGCCCCCUACCUGUCACCCCGAACAUGCUGAGCAGGGGUUUGAACAGGUAGAAGAUCCUGAGACAUCAAAACAGAAAAGCUGUGCAGGCCAGCAUGGGAGGAGCAGCGUCAAGGCAGAGACGAGGCUGCAGCCCUGACACCAGGCUGUGUAAGGAGGGCAGCGUCCAGAGAACGGGGUGGGGCCCGGGAGCGUGAACCCAGGAGGGCCCAGCACUGAGCAGGGAGGGCUGAGGCGAGCAGGGGACGCGCUGGCUGGCCACGUGCGAAGACUGUGGCUGACGCAGGGCAGAGCGUGACUAAAUCAUUCAUGAUGGAAAUACAUGACCUGCUAAACCAAAUUAGACUUCUUCGUCCAAAUGGAGCAGUUUUAUGAAAUGUAACCACCUCAACCGAUGGUGGGACAAUCCCUCUGGAUUUUCACAAGCAGAGCUGUGCACGCUGGGCUGAAGAACGUUCCAGAAGGUGUCCAGGACCUUGGGAGGUCCCAAGUGAGCCAGCACAUCUGACAGUGACCGUCUGGAUGACCAGGCCGUGGGGCUUGGUUCUGACACCCGUUUGAUUUGAGCUGAAGGCGGACCACGCGUCUAACAUCCCUUUAUUGUGUACAUUGCAUAUUCCAAUGACUACAAUAAACUCUUUUUAAAAAGUAA
Non-coding RNA from Callithrix jacchus (white-tufted-ear marmoset), 2115 nucleotides. The record is from RefSeq and is a predicted model, not a curated record. Lineage: Eukaryota; Metazoa; Chordata; Mammalia; Primates; Cebidae.